RNAcentral lists this ribosomal RNA (371 nucleotides) under uncultured bacterium. RNAcentral describes it as "bacterial SSU rRNA". It matches the Rfam family "Bacterial small subunit ribosomal RNA", at positions 527 to 895 of the family's 1533-position model. The record is from RNAcentral.
GGGGGGGACGAGCGUUGUUCGGAUUUACUGGGCGUAAAGGGCGCGUAGGCGGACUUUCAAGUCGGAAGUGAAAACCGGAGGCUUAACCUCAGGCUUGCUUUCGAUACUGUCAGUCUUGAGUACAGAAGAGGAAAGCGGAAUUCCAGGUGUAGCGGUGAAAUGCGUAGAUAUUCUGGAAGAACACCAGUAGCGAAGGCGGCUUUCUGGUCUGAUACUGACGCUAAAGCGCGAAGGCUAGGGGAGCAAACAGGAUUAGAUACCCUGGUAGUCCUAGCGGUAAACGAGGGGUACUAGGUGUCGGGGGUAUCGACCCCCUCGGUGCCGAAGCUAACGCAUUAAGUACCCCGCCUGGGGAGUACGACCGCAAGGUG